This 317-nucleotide ribosomal RNA is filed under the name uncultured eukaryote. Its description in RNAcentral is "partial large subunit ribosomal RNA". It matches the Rfam family "Eukaryotic large subunit ribosomal RNA", at positions 40 to 350 of the family's 3401-position model. The record is from RNAcentral.
AUAUUAGUAAGGGGAGGAGAAGGAACUAACGAGGAUUCCCUUAGUAGCGGCGAGCGAAGCGGGAGAAGCUCAUGCCUGGAACCGGCCGUCAAUUGCGAUGGCUGGAUUGUGGCGUUGGGCAUCAAGGUGGCUGAUGGCGUCGCGGGUCGAGUGCCUUGGAACAGGCCAUCAUAGAGGGUGACAAACCCGGCGAUGCCCGCGACUGCUAUUGGCUGUGUCUUGGUGCUACGAGUCGAGUUGCUUGGGAGUGCAGCUCUACCAGGAGGGAACGUCCUUCUUCAGCUCAAUACCGACGAGAGACCGAUAGCGCACAAGUA